AAAUGAAUAGACGGGGGCCCGCACAAGCGGAGGAGCAUGUGGUUUAAUUCGAUGAUACGCGAGGAACCUUACCCGGGUUAGAACGUUGCAGGGAUUACACAGAGAUGUGUAAGCUUUUCGGAGCUUGUAACGAGGUGCUGCAUGGUUGUCGUCAGCUCGUGCCGUGAGGUGUCAGGUUAAGUCCUAUAACGAGCGCAACCCUUACGUAUAGUUACCAUCAUUAAGUUGGGGACUCUAUACGGACUGCCGGCGUAAGCUGAGAGGAAGGGGGGGAUGACGUCAAAUCAGCACGGCCCUUAUGUCCGGGGCGACACACGUGCUACAAUGGUUAUUACAGAGGGCAGCUACACAGUGAUGUGAUGCGAAUCUCGAAAGGUAAUCAUAGUUCGGAUCGGAGUCUGCAACUCGACUCCGUGAAGUUGGAUUCGCUAGUAAUCGCAGAUCAGCCAUGCUGCGGUGAAUACGUUCCCGGGCCUUGUACACACCGCCCGU
RNAcentral lists this ribosomal RNA (492 nucleotides) under uncultured bacterium. Its description in RNAcentral is "bacterial SSU rRNA". It matches the Rfam family "Bacterial small subunit ribosomal RNA", at positions 903 to 1397 of the family's 1533-position model. The record is from RNAcentral.